RNAcentral lists this non-coding RNA (23 nucleotides) under Arabidopsis thaliana (thale cress). The record is from RNAcentral. Lineage: Eukaryota; Viridiplantae; Streptophyta; Magnoliopsida; Brassicales; Brassicaceae.
UUUCUUCGUGAAUAUCUGGCAUU